GACGAACGCUGGCGGCGUGCCUAAUACAUGCAAGUAGAACGCUGAAGGAGGAGCUUGCUUCUCUGGAUGAGUUGCGAACGGGUGAGUAACGCGUAGGUAACCUGCCUGGUAGCGGGGGAUAACUAUUGGAAACGAUAGCUAAUACCGCAUAAGAGUAGAUGUUGCAUGACAUUUGCUUAAAAGGUGCACUUGCAUCACUACCAGAUGGACCUGCGUUGUAUUAGCUAGUUGGUGAGGUAACGGCUCACCAAGGCGACGAUACAUAGCCGACCUGAGAGGGUGAUCGGCCACACUGGGACUGAGACACGGCCCAGACUCCUACGGGAGGCAGCAGUAGGGAAUCUUCGGCAAUGGACGGAAGUCUGACCGAGCAACGCCGCGUGAGUGAAGAAGGUUUUCGGAUCGUAAAGCUCUGUUGUAAGAGAAGAACGAGUGUGAGAGUGGAAAGUUCACACUGG
This 458-nucleotide ribosomal RNA is filed under the name Streptococcus mitis. Its description in RNAcentral is "bacterial SSU rRNA". It matches the Rfam family "Bacterial small subunit ribosomal RNA", at positions 28 to 472 of the family's 1533-position model. The record is from RNAcentral. Lineage: Bacteria; Bacillati; Bacillota; Bacilli; Lactobacillales; Streptococcaceae.